Molecule: ribosomal RNA, 497 nt
Filed under: uncultured bacterium
Lineage: Bacteria
Description: partial 16S ribosomal RNA
Rfam family: Bacterial small subunit ribosomal RNA
Source: RNAcentral
GAUGAACGCUGGCGGCGUGCCUAAUACAUGCAAGUCGAGCGAACAGACGAGGAGCUUGCUCCUCUUACGUUAGCGGCGGACGGGUGAGUAACACGUGGAUAACCUACCUAUAAGACUGGGAUAACUUCGGGAAACCGGAGCUAAUACCGGAUAAUAUAUUGAACCGCAUGGUUCAAUAGUGAAAGACGGUUUUGCUGUCACUUAUAGAUGGAUCCGCGCCGCAUUAGCUAGUUGGUAAGGUAACGGCUUACCAAGGCAACGAUGCGUAGCCGACCUGAGAGGGUGAUCGGCCACACUGGAACUGAGACACGGUCCAGACUCCUAAGGGAGGCAGCAGUAGGGAAUCUUCCGCAAUGGGCGAAAGCCUGACGGAGCAAAGCCGCGUGAGUGAUGAAGGUCUUCGGAUCGUAAAACUCUGUUAUUAGGGAAGAACAAAUGUGUAAGUAACUAUGCACGUCUUGACGGUAACUAAUCAGAAAGCAACGGCUAACUACGUG